This 72-nucleotide transfer RNA is filed under the name Ailuropoda melanoleuca (giant panda). It matches the Rfam family "tRNA". From Rfam's summary of the family: Transfer RNA (tRNA) molecules are approximately 80 nucleotides in length. Their secondary structure includes four short double-helical elements and three loops (D, anti-codon, and T loops). The record is from Rfam by way of RNAcentral. Lineage: Eukaryota; Metazoa; Chordata; Mammalia; Carnivora; Ursidae.
GCCUGGUUGGCUCAGUUGGUGGAGUGUGCAAGUCUUGAUCUUGGGGUGUGGGUUUGAGCCCCACAUUGGGUG